RNAcentral lists this small nucleolar RNA (146 nucleotides) under Drosophila ananassae. Its description in RNAcentral is "snoRNA:GF26054". The record is from RNAcentral. Lineage: Eukaryota; Metazoa; Arthropoda; Insecta; Diptera; Drosophilidae.
GCGUCUCAUGCUAAACUGUGUCCGCAGAAGUAAUGCCACUCGGUCAUGGGUAGAAUGGGAACGCAGAUCAAAAUAGGUUUUAAUAUUAUCCUUGUGCUUGAAAGAUAUAGCCUCUUCUUGCUCUCAUGGAAACUAAAGCCACAAUA